AAUUGUUAAAAGGGAAGCGCUUACAGCUAGACUUGCCUAUAGUUACUUAUCUAGGCUUUUACCCAGUGCACUCUUCUAUAGGCAGGCCAGCAUUAGUUUAGGCAGUUAGAUAAAGGUCUCUAUUACGUACCUCUCUUUAGGGAGGCCUUAUAGGGGAGACGACAUGCAACUAGCCUAGACUAAGGUCCACGCAUUUACUAGGAUGCUGGCGUAAUAGCUGUAAGCGGCCUAUCUUAAAACAUGGACUAAGGAGUCUAACAUCUAUGCGAGUGUUUAGGUGUUAAGCCUAAACGCGUAAUAAAAGUAAAUAGAGGUAGGAACCCUUUAGGGCGCACUAUUAACUAAUCCUAAUGUCUUUAGAAGGAUUUAAGUAAGAGUAUAGCUGUUAGGACCUAAAAGAUAGUAAACUAUACUUAAAUAGGGUAAAGCCAGAGGAAACUCUAGUAGAGGCUUGCAGCGGUUCUGACGUGCAAAUUAAUCGUUAAAUUUAGGCAUAGGGGCGAAAGACUAAUUAAACUAUCUAGUAGCUAGUUCCUGCUGAAGUUUCCCUUAGGAUAGCAGUAACGUAUUUAGUUUUAUAAGGUAAAGCAAAUAAUUAGAGGCCUAGGGGUUAAAAUAACCUUUACCUAUUCUUAAACUUUAAAUAUGUAAGAAGUCCUUGUUACUUAAUUAAACGUAGACACUUAAAUGUACUGUUACUAGUAGGCUAUUUUUAGUAAGCAGAACUAGCGAUGUAGGAUAAACUAAACGCGGGGUUAAGGUGCUAGAAUGCACGCUUAUUAGACACUAUAAAAGGUGUUAGUUUAUCUAGACAGCAGGAUGGUAGCUAUAGAAGUUGGAAUCUGCUAAGGAGUGUAUAACAACUCACCUACUAAAUAAACUAGCCCUAAAAAUAGAUGGCGCUUAAGCGUGUUACCUAUACCCCGCUGCUAGGGCAAGAUUUAAGCCCUAGCGAGUAGGCAGGCGUGGAGGUCCAUGACGAAGCCUUAGGGGUAACCCUAGGUAGAACGGCCUCUAGUGCAGAUCUUAGUAGUAGUAGCAAAUACUUAAAUAAGAACUUUAAGGACUAAAGUAGGGAAAGGUUCUGUGUAAACAGCAGUUAGACACAGGUUAGUUAAUCCUAAGAGAUAAGGUAAUUCCGUUUUAAUGUUAGCGCUUACGCUGCGCCCUUAAAAGGGAAGCUAGUUAAUAUUCUAGCACCUAGAUAUAGAUUCUCUGCAGUAACGCAACUAAGAGCGGAGACCUUAGCAGGAGCCCUAAGAAGAGUUCUCUUUUCUUCUUAAUGGUCUGUUACCCUAAAAUUAGUUUAUCUAGAGCUAGGGUUUAAUAGCUAGAAGAGCGCUGCACUUUUACGGCGUUUAGUGCACUCCUAACAAGCCUUAAAAAUCCGCUUAAAGAAAUAGUUUUUACGCUAGGUUGUACUUAUAACUGCAGCAGGUCUCUAAGGUAAAAAGCCUCUAGUUAAUAGAAUAAUAUAGAUAAGGGAAGUUAGCAAAAUAGAUCUAUAACUUCGGGAAAAGGAUUAGCUCUAAGGGUUAGGUACGUUAGGCCUUAGAGAGAAGCUUCUGGCGCAGAAGGGCACUAACUAUAAGGUAGGCGCCUUUUAGCGCUAGGGUGCGGAUACCCUUAGCAGGCUUUAGCCGUCCGGCGUACGUUUAACAACUAACUUAGAACUGGUACAGAUAAGGGGAAUCUAACUAUCUAAUUAAAACAUAGCAUUGCGAUAGCUAGAAAGUAGUGUUAACGUAAUGUGAUUUCUGCCUAGUGCUCUAAAUGUUAAAGCGAAGAGAUUCAACUAAGCGUAAGUAAACGGCGGGAGUAACUAUAACUCUCUUAAGGUAGCUAAAUGCCUUGUUAUCUAAUUAGUAACGCGUAUGAAUAGAUUAAUAAGAUUCCUACUGUCCCUAUCUACUAUCUAGUAAAACUAUAGCUAAGGGAACGGGCUUGGCUAAAUUAGCGGGGAAAGAAGACCCUGUUAAGCUUAACUCUAGUUUAAUAUUAUAAAAAGAUAUAGGGGGUGUAGAAUAGGUAGGAGCUUUAGCGCUAGUAAAAUACUACUACCCUUAUUGUUUUUUUACUUAUUUAAUAAAGCGG
This 2094-nucleotide ribosomal RNA is filed under the name Plenodomus biglobosus/Leptosphaeria biglobosa 'thlaspii' group. Its description in RNAcentral is "eukaryotic LSU rRNA". It matches the Rfam family "Eukaryotic large subunit ribosomal RNA", at positions 403 to 2536 of the family's 3401-position model. The record is from RNAcentral. Lineage: Eukaryota; Fungi; Ascomycota; Dothideomycetes; Pleosporales; Leptosphaeriaceae.